Molecule: ribosomal RNA, 253 nt
Filed under: uncultured bacterium
Lineage: Bacteria
Description: partial 16S ribosomal RNA
Rfam family: Bacterial small subunit ribosomal RNA
Source: RNAcentral
UACGGGGGGAGCAAGCGUUACUCGGAAUUACUGGGCGUAAAGGGCGCGUAGGCGAUUGAAUAAGUCUUAUGUGAAAGCCCAUGGCUUAACCAUGGAAGUGCAUGAGAAACUGUAUGAUUUGAGUUCCGGAGAGGAAGGCAGAAUUCCCGGUGUAGCGGUGAAAUGCGUAGAUAUCGGGAGGAAUACCAGUGGCGAAGGCGGCCUUCUGGACGGAUACUGACGCUGAGGCGCGAAAGCCAGGGGAGCAAACGGG